This is a long non-coding RNA of Chelonia mydas (Green sea turtle), 179 nucleotides long. RefSeq lists it as uncharacterized. The transcript is spliced from 3 exons. NCBI's taxonomy places the organism in Eukaryota, Metazoa, Chordata, Testudines, Cheloniidae. The record is from RefSeq and is a predicted model, not a curated record.
UUGGCAACAAGGGCACAUUGUUUACUCAUAUCCAGCUUGUGAUCCACUAUGACCUGCAGGCCCGUUUCCGCAGUACUCCUACCUAGAUAGUCGUUUCCCCAUUUUGUAUGUGUGCAACUAACUGUUCCUUCCUAAGUGGAGUACUUUGCAUUUGUCCUUACUGAAUUUCAUCCUGUUUA